GACGAACGCUGGCGGCGUGCUUAACACAUGCAAGUCGAACGCUGAAGCUUGGUGCUUGCACUGGGUGGAUGAGUGGCGAACGGGUGAGUAAUACGUGAGUAACCUGCCCUUGACUCUGGGAUAAGCCUGGGAAACUGGGUCUAAUACUGGAUACGACAUGUCACCGCAUGGUGGUGUGUGGAAAGGGUUUUACUGGUUUUGGAUGGGCUCACGGCCUAUCAGCUUGUUGGUGGGGUAAUGGCUCACCAAGGCGACGACGGGUAGCCGGCCUGAGAGGGUGACCGGCCACACAGGGAUGGAGACACGGCCCGGACACAGACGGGAGGCAGCAGGGGGGAUUAUAGAACAAUGGGCGGAAGCAUGAUGCAGCGACCCGCGUGAGGGAUGACGGCCUUCGGGUUGUAAACCUCUUUCAGCACGGAAGAAGCGAAAGUGACGGUACGUGCAGAAGAAGCGCCGGCUAACUACGUG
Molecule: ribosomal RNA, 471 nt
Filed under: uncultured bacterium
Lineage: Bacteria
Description: partial 16S ribosomal RNA
Rfam family: Bacterial small subunit ribosomal RNA
Source: RNAcentral